Molecule: ribosomal RNA, 327 nt
Filed under: uncultured eukaryote
Lineage: Eukaryota
Description: partial 18S ribosomal RNA
Rfam family: Eukaryotic small subunit ribosomal RNA
Source: RNAcentral
CCCUUAGAUGUUCUGGGCCGCACACGCGCUACACUGAAGGAGGCAGCGUGUACUCCUGGAUCGAAAGAUUUGGGUAACCCGCGAAUCUUCUUCGUGCUAGGGAUUGAGGUUUGCAAUUAUCCUUCAUGAACGAGGAAUUCCCAGUAAGUGCAAGUCAUAAGCUUGCGCUGACUACGUCCCUGCCCUUUGUACACACCGCCCGUCGCUACUACCGAUUGAAUGAUUUAGUGAGGACUUCGGACUGGGACCGAUGCGGCUUUCGGGCUGCGUCGGUAUUCUGGAAAGAUGUCCAAACUGUAUCAUUUAGAGGAAGUAAAAGUCGUAACA